GUGCUCCCUUUGGCAGCACAGACAGUGCAAUUGGAAAGAUACAGAGAUCAGCAUGUGCCCUGCACCAGGGUACCAUGCAGAAUCGAGAAGACGGACCUCCUCUC
This is a small nuclear RNA of Ochotona princeps (American pika), 104 nucleotides long. The record is from Ensembl. NCBI's taxonomy places the organism in Eukaryota, Metazoa, Chordata, Mammalia, Lagomorpha, Ochotonidae.